UUGGACCGUUGUUCAUAAGGGCGCUAAUAGAAGGACGGCCAGUAAGCUGAGUAAUGGGAGGUGGAAGAGCAGAAUGGAUUUUAAUUGCAACUGUUUUACGCCGCUUCUAUGGCGGCGGCUGAGUCGACUGUUCAAAGUCUAUCGGCCAUUUAUCGGAUUGCGGGGCCGAUGAAGUUGAAGUAGGAAUCGACUGAAACAAGACGUAUUA
RNAcentral lists this long non-coding RNA (208 nucleotides) under Ananas comosus (pineapple). RNAcentral's name for it is "long non-coding RNA (ACOM_LNC026007)". The record is from RNAcentral. Lineage: Eukaryota; Viridiplantae; Streptophyta; Magnoliopsida; Poales; Bromeliaceae.